Molecule: long non-coding RNA, 4229 nt
Filed under: Salmo salar (Atlantic salmon)
Lineage: Eukaryota; Metazoa; Chordata; Actinopteri; Salmoniformes; Salmonidae
Description: lncRNA (ENSSSAG00000116869.1)
Source: RNAcentral
CAGAUAAUGACCCGCCCAGCGCGUUCUGAUACAUGACCACUCGGGAGAUAUGGGGCUGUUGAUUGCUUUAUUAUUAAUAAUAAACUCAGGAACCAAACACACCUGUGUGGAAGCACCUGCUUUUAUCAACAUACUGCAUAUCUCUCGUUCGACUAGGAAGUGUUUCCUGUUAUUCUGGCAGUUACCUGCAGACGCUACGUAGAAAGGUAAAUACAUACGGAAGCUUCCCGGAACAACGACUAUAAAACUAUAUUAUAUAUUGAUAAUGAUGCUAGCAUUUUAUCAGGAAAGUUGAGACUGUAUCAUAUGUUGGGGUUCGGCAGGGUAGGCUAGUGGUUAGAGCAGGUAGCCUAGUGGUUAGAGCAGGUAGCCUAGUGGUUAGAGCAGGUAGCCUAGUGGUUACAGCAGGUAGCCUUGUGGUUAGAGCAGGUAGCCUAGUGGUUAGAGCAGGUAUACUAGUGGUUAGAGGCAGGUCGCCUUGUGGUUAGAGCAGGUAGCCUAGUGGUUAGAGCAGGUAGCCUAGUGGUUAGAGCAGGUAGCCUAGUGGUUAGAGCAGGUAGCCUAGUGGUUACAGCAGGUAGCCUAGUGGUUAGAGCAGGUAUCCUAGUGGUUAGAGGCAGGUAGCCUUGUGGUUAGAGCAGGUAGCCUAGUGGUUAGAGCAGGUAUCCUAGUGGUUAGAGGCAGGUAGCCUAGUGGUUAGAGCAGGUAGCCUAGUGGUUAGAGCAGGUAGCCUAGUGGUUACAGAAGGUAGCCUUGUGGUUAGAGCAGGUAGCCUAGUGGUUAGAGCAGGUAUCCUAGUGGUUAGAGGCAGGUAGCCUAGUGGUUAGAGCAGGUAUCCUAGUGGUUAGAGGCAGGUAGCCUAGUGGUUAGAGGCAGGUAGCCUAGUGGUUAGAGCAGGUAGCCUAGUGGUUAGAGGCAGGUAGCCUAGUGGUUAGAGCAGGUAGCCUAGUGGUUAGAGGCAGGUAGCCUGUUGGUUAGAGCAGGUAUCCUAGUGGUUAGAGGCAGGUAGCCUAGUGGUUAGAGCAGGUAGCCUAGUGGUUAGAGCAGGUAGCCUAGUGGUUAGAGCAGGUAGCCUUGUGGUUAGAGUAGGUAGACUAGUGGUUAGAGCAGGUAUCCUAGUGGUUAGAGGCAGGUAGCCUAGUGGUUAGAGCAGGUAGCCUAGUGGUUAGAGCAGGUAGCCUAGUGGUUAGAGCAGGUAGCCUAGUGGUUAGAGCAGGUAUCCUAGUGGUUAGAGCAGGUAGCCUAGUGGUUAGAGCAGGUAGCCUAGUGGUUAGAGCAGGUAGCAUAGUGGUUAGAGCAGGUAGCCUAGUGGUUACAGCAGGUAGCCUAGUGGUUAGAGCAGGUAUCCUAGUGGUUAGAGGCAGGUAGCCUUGUGGUUAGAGCAGGUAGCCUAGUGGUUAGAGCAGGUAUCCUAGUGGUUAGAGGCAGGUAGCCUAGUGGUUAGAGCAGGUAGCCUAGUGGUUAGAGCAGGUAGCCUAGUGGUUACAGCAGGUAGCCUUGUGGUUAGAGAAGGUAGCCUAGUGGUUAGAGCAGGUAGCCUAGUGGUUAGAGCAGGUAGCCUAGUGGUUAGAGCAGGUAGCCUAGUGGUUAGAGCAGGUAGCCUAGUGGUUACAACAGGUAGCCUUGUGGUUAGAGCAGGUAGCCUUGUGGUUAGAGCAGGUAGCCUAGUGGUUAGAGCAGGUAUCCUAGUGGUUAGAGCAGGUAGCCUAGUGGUUAGAGCAGGUAGCCUAGUGGUUAGAGCAGGUAGCCUAGUGGUUAGAGCAGGUAGCCUAGUGGUUACAACAGGUAGCCUUGUGGUUAGAGCAGGUAGCCUAGUGGUUAGAGCAGGUAUCCUAGUGGUUAGAGGCAGGUGCCUUGUGGUUAGAGCAGGUAGCCUAGUGGUUAGAGCAGGUAGCCUAGUGGUUAGAGCAGGUAUCCUAGUGGUUAGAGGCAGGUGCCUUGUGGUUAGAGCAGGUAGCCUAGUGGUUAGAGCAGGUAGCCUAGUGGUUAGAGCAGGUAUCCUAGUGGUUAGAGGCAGGUAGCCUAGUGGUUAGAGGCAGGUAGCCUAGUGGUUAGAGCAGGUAGCCUAGUGGUUAGAGGCAGGUAGCCUGUUGGUUAGAGCAGGUAUCCUAGUGGUUAGAGGCAGGUAGCCUAGUGGUUAGAGCAGGUAGCCUAGUGGUUAGAGCAGGUAGCCUAGUGGUUAGAGCAGGUAGCCUUGUGGUUAGAGUAGGUAGACUAGUGGUUAGAGCAGGUAUCCUAGUGGUUAGAGGCAGGUAGCCUAGUGGUUAGAGCAGGUAGCCUAGUGGUUAGAGCAGGUAUCCUAGUGGUUAGAGUCAGGUGCCUUGUGGUUAGAGCACGUAGCCUAGUGGUUAGAGCAGGUAGCCUAGUGGUUAGAGCAGGUAUCCUAGUGGUUAGAGGCAGGUAGCCUAGUGUUUAGAGCAGGUAGCCUAGUGGUUAGAGGCAGGUAGCCUAGUGGUUAGAGCAGGUAGCCUAGUGGUUAGAGGCAGGUAGCCUGUUGGUUAGAGCAGGUAUCCUAGUGGUUAGAGGCAGGUAGCCUAGUGGUUAGAGCAGGUAGCCUAGUGGUUAGAGCAGGUAGCCUAGUGGUUAGAGCAGGUAGCCUAGUGGUUAGAGGCAGGUAGCCUAGUGGUUAGAGCAGGUAGCCUAGUGGUUAGAGACAGGUAGCCUGUUGGUUAGAGCAGGUAUCCUAGUGGUUAGAGGCAGGUAGCCUAGUGGUUGGAGCAGGUAUCCUAGUGGUUAGAGGCAGGUAGCCUAGUGGUUAGAGCAGGUAUCCUAGUGGUUAGAGGCAGGUAGCCUAGUGGUUAGAGGCAGGUAGCCUAGUGGUUAGAGCAGGUAGCCUAGUGGUUAGAGCAGGUAGCCUAGUGGUUAGAGCAGGUAGCCUUGUGGUUAGAGCAGGUAGCCUAGUGGUUAGAGCAGGUAUCCUAGUGGUUAGAGGCAGGUAGCCUAGUGGUUAGAGCAGGUAUCCUAGUGGUUAGAGGCAGGUGCCUUGUGGUUAGAGCAGGUAGCCUAGUGGUUAGAGCAGGUAGCCUAGUGGUUAGAGCAGAUAUCCUAGUGGUUAGAGGCAGGUAGCCUAGUGGUUAGAGGCAGGUAGGCUAGUGGUUAGAGCAGGUAGCCUAGUGGUUAGAGGCAGGUAGCCUAGUGGUUAGAGCAGGUAGCCUAGUGGUUAGAGGCAGGUAGCCUGUUGGUUAGAGCAGGUAUCCUAGUGGUUAGAGGCAGGUAGCCUAGUGGUUAGAGCAGGUAGCCUAGUGGUUAGAGCAUGUAGCCUAGUGGUUAGAGCAGGUAGCCUAGUGGUUAGAGCAGGUAGCCUAGUGGUUAGAGGCAGGUAGCCUAGUGGUUAGAGCAGGUAGCCUAGUGGUUAGAGGCAGGUAGCCUGUUGGUUAGAGCAGGUAUCCUAGUGGUUAGAGGCAGGUAGCCUAGUGGUUAGAGCAGGUAGCCUGUUGGUUAGAGCAGGUAUCCUAGUGGUUAGAGGCAGGUAGCCUAGUGGUUAGAGCUUUGUGCCAGUAACCAAAAUGUUUGCCCAAUCGAAUCCCCGAGCUGACAAGGUGUAAAAAUCUGUCGUUCUGCCCCUGAACAAGGCAGUUAACCCCACUGUUACCCCGGGUACUACGUCACUGUAAAUAAGAAUUUGUUCUUAACUGACUUCCCUAGUUAAAUAAAAAUAUAUAUUAAAAAAAAAAUUUAAUUAAAUGAUGCUGAUAGGAUUUCAUAUAAAAUACUAAUGUUCUAUAAUCUGAUAUAUUGAUGAUUAAUAAGAGAUGAUAUGUAGCUGGGACUUCAGAAGACAACGACACUAUGGAACAACGAAGAGAUGGUUGGUCUGAGCUCCACACAUUAAUAACCUAUGUUUUAAGGUUGAACAGACGUUGGUAUUCCACCCAUGUUUUAAGGUUGAACAGACGUUGGUAUUCCAUGUUUUAAGGUUGAACAGAUGGUGGUUUGACGUUGGUAUUCCACCCAUGUUUUAAGGUUGAACAGAUGGUGGUUUGACGUUGGUAUUCCACCCAUGUUUUAAGGUUGAACAAACAUUGGAUUGAUGUUGGUAUUCCACCCAUGUUUUAAAGGAGAACAGACGUUGGUAUUCCACCCAUGUUUUAAAGGAGAACAGACGUUGGUAUUCCACCCAUGCUCCACCAAGGUAUUCCAGCUCACAGCUUUGACCCACUACAGUAUCUAGAUACUGUAGUGGGUCAAAGCUGUGAGCCGGAUAAAAUAAAUAAAUAAAAUAAAUCCAC